This 575-nucleotide ribosomal RNA is filed under the name uncultured archaeon. RNAcentral's name for it is "bacterial SSU rRNA". It matches the Rfam family "Archaeal small subunit ribosomal RNA", at positions 102 to 683 of the family's 1478-position model. The record is from RNAcentral.
GGACAAUCUGACCUAUGGAAGGGGAUAACCCCGGGAAACUGGGGAUAAUACCCUAUAGACUAUGGAGGCUGGAAUGCACUGUAGUCGAAAGGUCCGCCGCCAUAGGAUGGGUCUGCGGCCGAUUAGGUUGUUGUUAGGGUAACGGCCCAACAAGCCUGUAAUCGGUACGGGUUGUGGGAGCAAGAGCCCGGAGAUGGAUUCUGAGACACGAAUCCAGGCCCUACGGGGCGCAGCAGGCGCGAAAACUUUACAAUGCGGGAAACCGUGAUAGGGGAACUCCGAGUGCCCGUAAAAUCGGGCUGUCCACCAGUUUAAAUAACUGGUGAAGAAAGGGCCGGCAAGACCGGUGCCAGCCGCCGCGGUAAUACCGGCGGCUCGAGUGGUGGCCACUAUUACUGGGCUUAAAGCGUUCGUAGCUGGUUUGUUAAGUCUCUGGGGAAAUCUUCCGGCUUAACCGGAAGGCGUCUCAGGGAUACUGGCAGACUAGGGACCGGGAGAGGUGAGGGGUACUCCAGGGGUAGGAGUGAAAUCCUGUAAUCCUUGGGGGACCACCUGUGGCGAAGGCGCCUCACCAG